CACGUAGGGCGCAAGCGUUGUCCGGAAUUAUUGGGCGUAAAGAGCUCGUAGGCGGUCUGUUGCGUCCGCUGUGAAAACUCGGGGCUUAACCCCGAGCCUGCAGUGGAUACGGGCAGACUAGAGGUAGGUAGGGGAGAAUGGAAUUCCCGGUGUAGCGGUGAAAUGCGCAGAUAUCGGGAGGAACACCGGUGGCGAAGGCGGGAUCGUCC
Molecule: ribosomal RNA, 209 nt
Filed under: uncultured bacterium
Lineage: Bacteria
Description: partial 16S ribosomal RNA
Rfam family: Bacterial small subunit ribosomal RNA
Source: RNAcentral